Molecule: ribosomal RNA, 259 nt
Filed under: uncultured prokaryote
Description: partial 16S ribosomal RNA
Rfam family: Bacterial small subunit ribosomal RNA
Source: RNAcentral
UACGGAGGAUGCAAGCGUUAUCCGGGAUUUAUUGGGUUUAAAGGGUGCGCAGGUUGGUUUGAUAAGUCAGUGGUGAAAGUCUGUCGCUUAACGGUAAGGAUUGCCAUUGUAUACUGUUGGACUUGAAUAUGGAUGAGGUAGGCGGAAUGUGUAGUGUAGCGGUGAAAUGCAUAGAUAUUACACAGAACACCGAUUGCGAAGGCAGCUUACUAAUCCAUCAUUGACGCUGAGGGCACGAAAGACGUGGGGAGUCAAACCA